GUCCCCGUAGUUUAACGGAUAAAAUAUCAGAUUGCGGAUCUGAGGCUAGAGGUUCAAUUCCUCUCGGGGACA
RNAcentral lists this transfer RNA (72 nucleotides) under Candidatus Woesebacteria bacterium GW2011_GWF1_31_35. RNAcentral's name for it is "tRNA-Arg". It matches the Rfam family "tRNA". Rfam says of the family: Transfer RNA (tRNA) molecules are approximately 80 nucleotides in length. Their secondary structure includes four short double-helical elements and three loops (D, anti-codon, and T loops). Further hydrogen bonds mediate the characteristic L-shaped molecular structure. tRNAs have two regions of fundamental functional importance: the anti-codon, which is responsible for specific mRNA codon recognition, and the 3' end, to which the tRNAs corresponding amino acid is attached (by aminoacyl-tRNA synthetases). tRNAs cope with the degeneracy of the genetic code in two manners: having more than one tRNA (with a specific anti-codon) for a particular amino acid; and 'wobble' base-pairing, i.e. permitting non-standard base-pairing at the 3rd anti-codon position. RNAcentral also lists the same sequence under 1 other name. The record is from RNAcentral. Lineage: Bacteria; Candidatus Woeseibacteriota.